RNAcentral lists this ribosomal RNA (99 nucleotides) under uncultured Acaulospora. RNAcentral's name for it is "partial 18S ribosomal RNA". It matches the Rfam family "Eukaryotic small subunit ribosomal RNA", at positions 1734 to 1831 of the family's 1831-position model. Lineage: Eukaryota; Fungi; Glomeromycota; Glomeromycetes; Diversisporales; Acaulosporaceae. The record is from RNAcentral.
UCGGAACGUCUCUCUCUUGAGAGUUGUCAACUUGGUCAUUUAGAGGAAGUAAAGUCGUAACCAAGGUUUCCGGUAGGUGAACCUGCGGAAGGAUCAUUA